AUUGAACGCUGGCGGCAGGCCUAACACAUGCAAGUCGAGCGGAUGAAGGGAGCUUGCUCCUGGAUUCAGCGGCGGACGGGUGAGUAAUGCCUAGGAAUCUGCCUGUAGUGGGGGAUAACGUCCGGAAACGGGCGCUAAUACCGCAUACGUCCUGAGGGAGAAAGUGGGGGAUCUUCGGCCUUCAGGCUAUCAGUUAAGCCUAGGUCGGAUUAGCUAGUUGGUGGGGUAAAGGCCUACCAAGGCGACGAUCCGUAACUGGUCUGAGAGGAUGAUCAGUCACACUGGAACUGAGACACGGUCCAGACUCCUACGGGAGGCAGCAGUGGGGAAUAUUGGACAAUGGGCGAAAGCCUGAUCCAGCCAUGCCGCGUGUGUGAAGAAGGUCUUCGGAUUGUAAAGCACUUUAAGUUGGGAGGAAGGGCAGUAAGCUAAUACCUUGCUGUUUUGACGUUACCAACAGAAUAAGCACCGGCUAACUUCGUG
This 483-nucleotide ribosomal RNA is filed under the name uncultured bacterium. Its description in RNAcentral is "partial 16S ribosomal RNA". It matches the Rfam family "Bacterial small subunit ribosomal RNA", at positions 30 to 507 of the family's 1533-position model. The record is from RNAcentral.